CGGGGUGAGUAAUGUCUGGGAAACGGCCUGAUGGAGGGGGGUAACUACUGGAAACGGUAGCUAAUACCGCAUAACGUCGCAAGACCAAAGAGGGGGACCUUAGGGCCUCUUGCCAUCGGAUGUGCCCAGAUGGGAUUAGCUAGUAGGUGGGGUAAUGGCUCACCUAGGCGACGAUCCCUAGCUGGUCUGAGAGGAUGACCAGCCACACUGGAACUGAGACACGGUCCAG
Molecule: ribosomal RNA, 229 nt
Filed under: uncultured bacterium
Lineage: Bacteria
Description: partial 16S ribosomal RNA
Rfam family: Bacterial small subunit ribosomal RNA
Source: RNAcentral